This 513-nucleotide ribosomal RNA is filed under the name uncultured bacterium. RNAcentral describes it as "partial 16S ribosomal RNA". It matches the Rfam family "Bacterial small subunit ribosomal RNA", at positions 28 to 507 of the family's 1533-position model. The record is from RNAcentral.
GACGAACGCUGGCGGCGUGCUUAACACAUGCAAGUCGAACGAAAAGAGGGAAAGAGCUUGCUCUUUCCGGAAUUGAGUGGCAAACGGGUGAGUAACACGUAAACAACCUGCCUUCAGGAUGGGGACAACAGACGGAAACGACUGCUAAUACCGAAUAAGUUCCAAGGGCCGCAUGGCCCAUGGAAGAAAAGGUGGCCUCUACCUGUAAGCUAUCGCCCGAAGAGGGGUUUGCGUCUGAUUAGCUGGUUGGGGGGGUAACGGCCAACCAAGGCGACGAUCAGUAGCCGGUCUGAGAGGAGGAACGGCCACGCUGGAACUGGGACACGGUCCAGACUCCUACGAGAGGCAGCAGUGGGGGAUCUUCCGCAAUGGGCGAAAGCCUGACGGAGCAACGCCGCGUGAGUGAUGACGGCCUUCGGGUUGUGAGACUCUGUGAUCCGGGACGAAAAGGCAGAGUGCGAAGAACAAACUGCAUUGACGGUACCGGAAAAGCAAGCCACGGCUAACUACGUG